This 300-nucleotide ribosomal RNA is filed under the name Triticum aestivum (bread wheat). RNAcentral's name for it is "partial small subunit ribosomal RNA". Lineage: Eukaryota; Viridiplantae; Streptophyta; Magnoliopsida; Poales; Poaceae. The record is from RNAcentral.
AUGCCUUUGCCACAAAAUUCUGUUCUUGAGGCUAAAGAUCUGCCAAGGGCCAUGCUUAGCGAUCAUAUAGAAGAACAACUCUUUAAACGGCUCAAUGAAGAGAAACACGAACGGGCUAUUCAUGAUGGGAAAAGUUUUGAUAAGGUUAGUGCUGCCUCAUCAAUUUACAGAAUCUUACAUUUAUGGAUCCUAUGUUUCCUUUUUCUUGGUUAUAUCUUGGUUUCCUUUUCUAAAUAUGAAAUAUGUGGUUUGUGUACUUCUUAUAAACAGAGAUGUGUUGCUCCUUCUGCAUACUUUUAA